AUAUACAUACACACGAUAGUAAAAAUAUCAGUAUUUGAAGGGUUUUCCCAGGCCGCCACCCAAUCCAGGUUUGGGGAUACAAACUUUUACCAAGUAACUGUUCUAGUAAUUGCAUUUACGGAGUGUUCUUCAGCGUACGUGCACGUCUGUUUAGUUCUCUUGUUUCUAUACUGCACGAGUUCUGCGUUUUAACGGUCGAUACCUCAGACAGCUUUAUAAUCGUUACCUGGAGGUCAUGUAGGUUUGCAGUAAGGGUUGCACGAUUGUACAAACAUGCUUUUACUGUAUAACCUGUCAGGACCCGCUACAAGUCGAUGUUUACUCUUCCAUAAGGACAGUACUACUGAUUUAUAGAAACGCACCAAUAUUGACCUACUGAUAUUUUAUUAAUGGUUAACCAGCUACGGGUUUAACCUGUGGAAGCCAGAUGACUAGUCACAUUUUGUCUAAGUACGUCAUGUUUAUAGUGUCUGUGUGUAUUUAAACUUUGUGAGGGUAUAAAUAGUGAGCACUGAACACAUAUUUUGUGAAUGAGUGGAGUGGAGUGGAGUGAUUACUGCUCGUAACAGAUUAAAAAAAACAGAAAUUUCAUACGUAGCUUAUCAGGAAGCACUACAGUGCCGAUGUUUGUUUCAAAUAUUAAAACUCUUGCUCUGAAAUACAGCUGUAUGUAUACCACUGCACACGUGUAGUAAGCACAAAGCAGGCAUUAUAUGUUUAUUAGGAACUCCUAUGCACCUGCUCAUUAAUGCAAUUAUCCUAUCAGCCAAUCACGUCGCAGCAGCGCAAUGCAUAAAAAUCACACAAGUCAAGAGCUUCGGUUAACGUUCACGUCAAGCAUCGAGACUGGAGGGGGAAAAAAAUCUCGUAAUUACGACGUCAGGUGCGUCCGAGUCGGAGCAAGAUGGCGGCGUACUUUCUCUUAAUUAACUAUAGAGAAAAAGUCCGGUGCUUGCGAUUUCGCCACAGGUAGAUGGCGUCUCUUUCAUCUCGUAGGAUAUGAUGUAUAUACACACACACACACACACACACACACACACACACAC
Long non-coding RNA from Ictalurus punctatus (channel catfish), 1046 nucleotides. NCBI's taxonomy places the organism in Eukaryota, Metazoa, Chordata, Actinopteri, Siluriformes, Ictaluridae. The record is from Ensembl.